CUGGGUUUGACAUAUACGUAGUAGGGAACCGAAAGGGGACCGACACUUCGGUGAGCGUAUACAGGUGCUGCAUGGCUGUCGUCAGCUCGUGCCGUGAGGUGUUAGGUUAAGUCCUACAACGAGCGCAACCCUUGUUGCUAGUUACAAGUUACUAGCGAGACUGCUGGCAUAUAACCAGAGGAAGGUGGGGAUGACGUCAAGUCAGCAUGGCCUUUAUAUCCAGGGCUACACACACGCUACAAUGGCCGGUACAGAGGGCAGCGAAACCGCGAGGCGGAGCGAAUCUCACAAAGCCGGCCUCAGUUCAGAUUGCAGGCUGCAACCCGCCUGCAUGAAGUUGGAGUUGCUAGUAACCGCAGGUCAGCAAUACUGCGGUGAAUACGUUCCC
Molecule: ribosomal RNA, 388 nt
Filed under: uncultured bacterium
Lineage: Bacteria
Description: bacterial SSU rRNA
Rfam family: Bacterial small subunit ribosomal RNA
Source: RNAcentral